Molecule: long non-coding RNA, 1365 nt
Organism: Nerophis ophidion (straightnose pipefish)
Lineage: Eukaryota; Metazoa; Chordata; Actinopteri; Syngnathiformes; Syngnathidae
Exons: 3
Source: RefSeq, a predicted model, not a curated record
GGGAAACUACAAAUUCCAGGAACUUGGACAGCACACAAACAACACAAGUCAGAAGAAGCUGCUUAGCACCUCCUCUUUUGUCCCAACACAUUCUUCUCUCACAGGCAACCCAAGUGCUGGAAAAUAUUUAAAACAACAAACCCCACACGUCACAUGGUCAAAGGGCAUAGACAAGGUGAUGUCAUGACCACAGCUGGGAAGACUCCAACUUCAAGCUGGUCUUGAACAUUAAAAUCCCUCCUGGCUACUUCUUGCUGUCCGUCACCACUGAUUCUUCUCCCAGCAGAAGGUGGACGCCAGCUGAGUGGAAGGCCAAACAAUCACUGGCUCUGACUGAGUGGACACACGUGACCCAAGUGGCCAGCACCCCUAAAAGACAAAUGCUGGACUGGCUCCCAGUCCCAGUCUGCAGGGCGGCCUCCUGCAUGGAAGACUCUGGUCUGAGGUGAGCUGAGAGCCGGUCCUGUCCACGCCACCUCAUCAGUACUCGCAUGUUUGCCUCUCACAGGCACUUGCUUCUAGAACAUUUGUACGCCUUGCAUCAACAUUUUGACAGAGCACGCCGUCAAUCAGCUUCCAGGCUGGCGCAGUCAAGUUCUAUCAAGCCGGGUCAGGACGGGGGUUUCCUGAAAAGACCCAUAAACUUCACCUCGACACACAACUCUGGCAGCUUUCAGGCUCUUCCCACAUUCGUCCCUUUCUUCCUUGGGAUACAAAAUCUUCAAAGUUGCUUGUUGAAAUAUCAGGGUUCUUGGGACUUUCCCAGCAUGCAUCUGGAUAUCUUGGUGAUUGAUCAGAUGUCCAAGCAGCACAAUGUCAACAUGUCCGCCGGUCUCAACCUGGCCUGUGUGACUCACUUGACUCCAGAAGCCAAAUUUAAAGAAAAACAUGGGUCUGGGGGAUGUUGUAUUUAUUUUUAGGAACACUAAUACAAAACCUCUUAAUAAUCAACUUUAUGACAGACCACAUUUUUACUGAACGAGAAAGCCAGAAUGUACAUGAAUAUAAAGCAUGUGGGAUUUACAUGAUCGACUAUAAACAAUAAAACACUGAAUAUUGACUACAUAUCCUAAUUUCCCCUCUGGGAUUAAUCAAGUAUUUCUGAUCCUACACGACCAUAGUAACUCAUUACAUUACCAUAGUAACUCAUUACAUUACCAUUGUAACUAAAUACAUGACCAUAGUAACUCGUUACAUGAGCAUAGUAACUCAUUACAUGACUAUAGUAACUCAUUAGAUUACCAUUGUAACUAAAUACAUGACCAUAGUAACUAAUUGCAUUACCAUAGUAACUAAUUAGAUGACCGGAGUAAAUAAUUACAUUACUAUAGUAACUGAUUAGACGACCUUAGCAGAUAAUUAGAU